GCCCGCUUGGCGGAACAGGCAGACGCAUCGGACUUAAAAUCCGAAGGCCGCGAGGCUGUGCCGGUUCGAGUCCGGCAGCGGGCACCA
RNAcentral lists this transfer RNA (87 nucleotides) under Alphaproteobacteria bacterium. Its description in RNAcentral is "tRNA-Leu". It matches the Rfam family "tRNA". From Rfam's summary of the family: Transfer RNA (tRNA) molecules are approximately 80 nucleotides in length. Lineage: Bacteria; Pseudomonadati; Pseudomonadota; Alphaproteobacteria. The record is from RNAcentral.